Phyllopteryx taeniolatus (common seadragon) is the source of this 329-nucleotide long non-coding RNA. RefSeq lists it as uncharacterized. The record is from RefSeq and is a predicted model, not a curated record. NCBI's taxonomy places the organism in Eukaryota, Metazoa, Chordata, Actinopteri, Syngnathiformes, Syngnathidae. The transcript has 3 exons.
GAAGAAAAAAAUCAGCCGAGUGACUUGUGUUAACGUUACAGACUCCGAAAAAAAACCCAGCUCUGUCAUGCAUGGUAGUCUUAAAUUGUGAGCUCCCAAACUUGGAUAUUUCAGCCCACACUUGAGAAAACACCUUGCGUUGGCUGUUCACCUGUACCCUGUACCCUGCCUCUCGCCCCCAAGCCAUCUGGGAGGGACUCCAGCUCACCUGUGACCCUAAUGAGGACAACCGCUAUAGAAAAAAGGGUGAAAACGGGAUGUUCCAGUCUUGGCUUGGGAAAGUAAAAUCACGACAACCCCGAAGGACCUGAAGAAAUGGCUGGAAAUUU